CGAGUUGGCCGGGCGGCCGCGGCGCCCACACGGGCGUCGAGGAAAGUCCGGACUUCACAGAGCAGGGUGAUUGCUAACGGCAAUCCGAGGUGACUCGCGGGAAAGUGCCACAGAAAACAGACCGCCAGCAAUGGUAAGGGUGAAACGGUGCGGUAAGAGCGCACCAGCAUCCCGGGUGACCGGGAUGGCUAGGCAAACCCCACCCGAAGCAAGGCCAAGAAGGCCGCAACCCGGUUGCGGCCGCGCAGGCGCCCGAGGGUUGCUCGCCCGAGCCUGCGGGUAGGCCGCUCGAGGUACCCGGCGACGGGCUACCCAGAUGGAUGGCCGCCGCCCCGCCGGCCAGAGAUGGCCGCGGGGAACAGAAUCCGGCUUACAGGCCAACUCGUUCG
Molecule: RNase P RNA, 389 nt
Filed under: Mycolicibacterium goodii
Lineage: Bacteria; Bacillati; Actinomycetota; Actinomycetes; Mycobacteriales; Mycobacteriaceae
Also listed under: 1 other name
Description: RNase P RNA component class A
Rfam family: Bacterial RNase P class A
About the family: Ribonuclease P (RNase P) is a ubiquitous endoribonuclease, found in archaea, bacteria and eukarya as well as chloroplasts and mitochondria. Its best characterised activity is the generation of mature 5'-ends of tRNAs by cleaving the 5'-leader elements of precursor-tRNAs.
Source: RNAcentral